CUACGGGUCGCAGCAGUGAGGAAUAUUGGGCAAUGGAGGCAACUCUGACCCAGCCAUGCCGCGUGCAGGAAGACGGCCCUCUGGGUUGUAAACUGCUUUUGUUUGGGAAUAAACCCUUCUACGUGUAGAAGGCUGAAGGUACCUUACGAAUAAGGAUCGGCUAACUCCGUGCCAGCAGCCGCGGUAAUACGGAGGAUCCAAGCGUUAUCCGGAUUUAUUGGGUUUAAAGGGUCCGUAGGCGGAUCUUUAAGUCAGUGGUGAAAGCCCACAGCUCAACUGUGGAACUGCCAUUGAUACUGGAGAUCUUGAGUGUAGUAGAAGUAGGCGGAAUAGGGCAUGUAGCGGUGAAAUGCAUAGAUAUGCCCUAGAACACCGAUUGCGAAGGCAGCUUACUAUGUUACAACUGACGCUGAGGGACGAAAGCGUGGGGAGCAAACAGGAUUAGAUACCCCAGUAGUC
Molecule: ribosomal RNA, 459 nt
Filed under: uncultured bacterium
Lineage: Bacteria
Description: partial 16S ribosomal RNA
Rfam family: Bacterial small subunit ribosomal RNA
Source: RNAcentral